This 830-nucleotide small RNA is filed under the name uncultured Acremonium. RNAcentral's name for it is "eukaryotic LSU rRNA". The stretch from base 553 to 830 matches the Rfam family "Eukaryotic large subunit ribosomal RNA", at positions 1 to 281 of the family's 3401-position model. Lineage: Eukaryota; Fungi; Ascomycota. The record is from RNAcentral.
CUUGGUCAUUUAGAGGAAGUAAAAGUCGUAACAAGGUCUCCGUUGGUGAACCAGCGGAGGGAUCAUUACCGAGUUUACAACUCCCAAACCCCUGUGAACAUACCUUAAUGUUGCCUCGGCGGAUCAGCCCGCGCCCCGUAAAACGGGACGGCCCGCCAGAGGACCCAAACUCUAAUGUUUCUUAUUGUAACUUCUGAGUAAAACAAACAAAUAAAUCAAAACUUUCAACAACGGAUCUCUUGGUUCUGGCAUCGAUGAAGAACGCAGCGAAAUGCGAUAAGUAAUGUGAAUUGCAGAAUUCAGUGAAUCAUCGAAUCUUUGAACGCACAUUGCGCCCGCCGGCACUCCGGCGGGCAUGCCUGUCCGAGCGUCAUUUCAACCCUCAGGCCCACCCUUCCGGGGGAGCGGGCCUGGUGCUGGGGAUCGGCGGCCCUCGCGGCCCCCGUCCCUCAAAUACAGUGGCGGUCGCGCCGCAGCCUCCCCUGCGUAGUAGCACAACCUCGCACCGGAGAGCGGAACGACCACGCCGUGAAACCCCCAAUUUUUUAAGGUUGACCUCGGAUCAGGUAGGAAUACCCGCUGAACUUAAGCAUAUCAAUAAGCGGAGGAAAAGAAACCAACAGGGAUUGCCUCAGUAACGGCGAGUGAAGCGGCAACAGCUCAAAUUUGAAAUCUGGCCUCACGGUCCGAGUUGUAAUUUGUAGAGGAUGCUUUUGGCAAGGUGCUUUCCGAGUUCCCUGGAACGGGACGCCAUAGAGGGUGAGAGCCCCGUACGGUAAGACCACCGAGCCUCUGUAAAGCUCCUUCGACGAGUCGAGUUGUUUGGGAAU